Molecule: long non-coding RNA, 337 nt
Organism: Lutzomyia longipalpis
Lineage: Eukaryota; Metazoa; Arthropoda; Insecta; Diptera; Psychodidae
Exons: 3
Source: RefSeq, a predicted model, not a curated record
AUAUCAAUUUGUUGUGUCAUAUUUUUUCCCUUGCUUAUCGUAUUUGGAGUGUGUAUACAUAUUUCGUGUUUUAUUGGAGCACAUUACGGUCUUUCUGUUAAGACGGAGUCUCCGGCAACUGGUCGACGAAGAGCCCCUGUGUCUCACAUGAGGAAAAUGGAAUGAUGGAAGCAAUGAUAUGCAGAAAGAACAUCUUUUCAAAUAUUAAAAUUUAUUAAUUCAUUUUCUUGUCUUUCAUUUCCAAAUAUUUUGAAGAAAUCUUUGAUUAAACUUUCUAUGUCUUUCUACUUUAUAAAUAAAAUAACGUGAUAGAGACUAAGAGUUGUGAGUGACUCAA